UCCCCCACCUCAUCCACCUCUGACUGUGGAGAGGGGAAGAAGAGAUGUUGGGCUAAUAGUUUCCAAGGGCCACAGUUCCUCCCUCUCCCCUCCUUUUUAUCCACACAUCUGUUUCCUGAGCCAGCUCACAAAAGCUUCCCUAAGUCAGGACUUGCCUGCGCUCUUCCACAGGACCUACCAAAGAGUGAACAUUUCAGGACCCGGAGUCCCCUGCUAUCCAGCUAAUCAGGUUAUCCAAAAAACUGGUGCUGGGGAAAGCAUAUGGGAUUUGCAGAGAAGAAAGAACCAGAGGAUCUUGGGCAAGAUGAAGACAGCUGGUGAGACAUGGACUGGAUAGCUGUUUGCCGUUUUGCUGUUUGCCUCCUUGUCACGACCUCAGCGACGGCAGAUGGAGCCAGUGGAGGGAGAGAGACAGACGGCAAUGCUUGGGUAGCCAGGGCUCCCUGCCGGCCCCACUCCUCCUG
This 464-nucleotide long non-coding RNA is filed under the name Homo sapiens (human). RNAcentral's name for it is "chondrogenesis-associated transcript". The record is from RNAcentral. Lineage: Eukaryota; Metazoa; Chordata; Mammalia; Primates; Hominidae.